AUGCUUGCUAUGGCAGCACAUAUAUACUAAAAUUGGAAAGAUACAGAGAAUAUGGCCCUUGCACAAGAAUAACAUGCAAAUUUGUGAGGCGUCCCAUAUUUUU
This is a small nuclear RNA of Onychomys torridus (southern grasshopper mouse), 103 nucleotides long. The record is from RefSeq and is a predicted model, not a curated record. NCBI's taxonomy places the organism in Eukaryota, Metazoa, Chordata, Mammalia, Rodentia, Cricetidae.